Molecule: long non-coding RNA, 1047 nt
Organism: Herpailurus yagouaroundi (jaguarundi)
Lineage: Eukaryota; Metazoa; Chordata; Mammalia; Carnivora; Felidae
Exons: 4
Source: RefSeq, a predicted model, not a curated record
GCAAGCCCAUCCUACAUCUCCCGGGGCAGGUGUGUUUGCAGGAGCAGACCGGGCACCAUCGUCGUUUCUGACCCCAGGAUCCUUGCGUAGCUUGAAUAACCACCUCUUCAGCCCGCCUUGCUAAGGUUACUGCAUAAUCCCUGCAUUCCCGUCAAGAAGGAUUAGCCAUCUUCUCAGGUGGGAGGAUUCCAGACUCACUGGGCUACUGUCUAGAUCUGCAGUCUCAAUAGCAAUUUUUGAAUCUACUUCCAGAUGUCUUCAAGAAUUCUUUCCUGGCCGUUGGCUCCGGACCACCCACCCCACCAUCACCCAACAACCCCAUCAUUUUGUGACUUUAACAUGGGCUUCGAGUCUUUUCAUCUGGGCUCUGAGCUGGUGCAAACCCGACUCCAUCACUGCAGGAACUUCAAGCCAACAGACGAUCCUUUCUACUCAAGAAGGUUCAUCCACGUUGUCCGCCUUGGAUUCAGCUGCCUCCACCUUAACUCCCCUGUAUGUUCCCUGACCAAUAUUGACCCAUAAAGGUAGGGACAUCUCUGCGCCCUUACUCAGCAGAAAGGAGCUACAGAAUAUGAGACCUUCCACCUUCAGCAACCAUAAAGGUUUAAGGGUCAAAAUUGUUCAGGGGGGAUACGAUGAGGGAGCGUGGGGCAAGCUGACAGCAAAGUACAGGGUAACAGCACUGGCCCCGCCCCCCACCCUCCCAUCAGAUGGGAUAUGUGUGCUAUUCCUCGGACACUCCUGGCUGCCCAAGGACAGGGGAAAGGAAAGAAAGCAGAUAGUUGGCCGAUAGAGAUGACAGUCAUGCAGGACAGGAGUCUCCUUCCGUUCACGGAUAACUUAGAAAACUGCAAGAAAAAGGCAAUCUUCUCCAUAGCCUAAUCUCCAGAAACCUAUAGACUCCGUUUCCUAGAGCCCUAAUACCACCCUCACCAAGAUGGAAGGGGGUUUAAGUGCCAGCCAUGAUGAUGUGGGAAACUAAGGCAAGUGAGAAAUUAAAUUCCCUUACUGCCUACAGCCCACUGACAAGUCCUUGAGGCCAGCAGA